Non-coding RNA from Equus caballus (horse), 3940 nucleotides. NCBI's taxonomy places the organism in Eukaryota, Metazoa, Chordata, Mammalia, Perissodactyla, Equidae. The record is from RefSeq and is a predicted model, not a curated record.
GAAGUGGAGCAUGGAAACUUAACUACUACACCACUGGGCCAGCCCUGGGAUGAUUUUUUUUUUUUAUUACUGUUGCAUAUAUCAUUGCAAAACCCAAGUAUAUCAGAUAAACAAUUAUCUGAAUAAAGUCUAUAUUAAAUUCUGAAAUCAUAUUGAAAUAUAUCAUUUUAGGAGCCUUGCAUGAUUUUUCAAUUCCAUGUUUUUUUGCUGUAUGGUACCUGGCUGAGUCACUUGGAAUACCCAAUAUCUGCCUAAUAGGUGCUCUGUUUGUGGUUAUCUGGUAAUUCCUAGAAGUUUGGGGAAGGAAUUUAUUGUUGCAAUUUUGAAUGAUGGAAUGUCAAGCCUCCUCUUAUUUCUUGUGAUAAUAGAGGAUGAUGUAAUCAUAAAUAUGUCCAUCAAUGAUAAUAGUGAAAUCUUACACAGCUGAUUCAGUUCAUAAAAGCAUGAAAUGUGGACACUAAUACAGUUUUCUGGUAUUUUUCUUGUUCUGGAAAGAUGCUACCAUUUUGGCAUACUGUCUCAGGAUGCAGUAAGUUAUGAGGAAGCUUCUACUACCCGUGUGUCGGCUCCUUUGUCUGGUGGGCACAUUCUAGAACAGUGUCUUUCCCAAGUUGCCAAGUUGUAUAAAAGCUCUCAGUUUUGUACACAUCUUUUCCUGACUUAUCAUUAAGCCAUACUGCCAUGCUCUCUCUAAAAUAGCUAAAAUCUCUUCUAGCUAUUGCCAGCGUUUCUUAUGUCCUUCUCUCUCAGAGUAAUACAUCCACAAGGAUAGUUGUUUUUCCCUUUGUUAAAUCUUUUGAGCAUUUUCUUUCUACUUCCUUUGCCACUGCUUAGGCUAAGACCCUUGUAACCUACUACUCAGUUUAUCAAGAGCCCAUUAACAGGAUUUUCUGCUCAGUCUAUUACAACAUUCCAUGCAAGUUGUUCCCUACAUCACGGUCCUUCAGUUGUCUCCCAGUGCCUGUACCACAUUUACUGUCUGCCUGCCCAGUCUAAUUCUAACUUAUUUUUCCAUCUUUAUUGUUCAUAAUGUCGUUACACGAACCAUCGAUUCCCAGUAAAUUGGUUCACUAGAACAUGCCAUGCAGAGUCUAGACUGUCACCAUGCUUUUGGUUAUUCAAUACCUCUUUCUAAAAUAUCUUAAUUCUUCCCAUCCUUCAUGGCUAACCUCAAGCCUUAUCUCCUCCAUAAAGUCUUUCUAAAUCCAUCAUUGCUGGCCUAACAAAAGCUGCAUUCAUAAUAGGCUUUAAAUAAAAUAAUGUGGGAGACUAACUGAAUUUAUAACAUAGAAAGUGGUCAAUACAUUUGAGUUUCCUUACCUCCGCACUUUUCAUUAUAUGUCUCAGGAUGAUGAUGCAUUUCUAGUUUAACCUUGUAGGUGACUAUCUCAAGGACUUUUGAAGACUCUUAGAGCCCUACACGUAAUGUGCGAAUUACAGUUAGUCUAAAAGUGGAAACUGGAUUGAUUAAAAUUGCAUUACCUGGGUGAGGAUGUGAGGGCUGAGUGGACUCAGUGCUCUCAUGGAGUGUGGUGAUUCUAACUCAUAAAGUUGAAUUUAAUGAGUAACUAUCAAACACAUACCUGUGUAUUGUACUUAACAACUUUAUAGGGUCAAUAAAUACAGAACAUUAUCUAGGAGUAUCAGUCUUUUGCCUUCAAGCAAUCUGAGCUAUACAUGACAUUUAAACAUAAUGUCAUUGUAUAUACUCUCCUAGAUUUAUUGUUGAGUACUAGUCUACUACCAUUUAUCUUUCAUGAAAAAAUAUUUAUUGAAACUAGUCCCUGUCCUUGUUUUUUAUAUUUCUGAAAUUCAGAAUACCUUUUCUUUAUAAUUAUUCUUUUGUCUAUUGUGUUUUUUUAUACCAAAUAUGUUUCUCAACCACUAAGUUUAAAAUGUAUGCAAUUAGUUUGAACCUUUGUAUUAAAUCCCAGAUAUCAAUGAUGGAUAUUUUUAAUGUAAUAAAACGGAGAAAAAUGAACAUUCACAGCCUCCCUUUUCUUCAAAUAGGAUGAUUCCCGUAAAUAUACUGAGACAUGCAGUUGGGGUGGUAAGGGUGGUGUUUUGUUUUCAGUGCGGAAGAAAGAGAUCACAACCUAGCACCGAGGAUGAUUCAUACAGUGCAGUGUUUCCAAGAGCUCCACGGUCAUGUUUAUAGCAACUGAGUGUAUCAAGGUUCUCAAGGAAAAUGAGAAACUAAGCACAACUGGUGGAGUGUGAAGCCCAAGAUUGGUUAAAUCUCCUCCGGCCGGCAAGAGAGUUACUACCCCAGACUCUCUCCCCGGCUCACUGCGGGGAUUGUUCUCGAUUUGGUGGCCUGCAAGUAACCUAGACGAGAAAUACCUUUCCCCCCCUGCUCUGCAACUGACAAAAGGGUCGGGAAUAUGGAAGAAUCUGAAAAAGGCCAAGCAAAGAAAAAAAAAAUCCCCCAAAUAUGGUGCUCUGUCACUUUACGGAUAUAUACGUCUUUUCAGUGGGUUGAUUUGCUUCUUUCAUCUCUCUUGUUUAGAAUGAAAGCUCAUUGUGCACAAGAAUGUCAUCCAUUAUAUCUCAAACUGCUCUGGGUAAUUUUGAUGCUCAACUCAUGGUAAAAAAAAAAAAAUAGUCUCAGUGGUUGUGGCUUUAAUAUUAUCCAUGGGAGGGAAAGGUCAGAGUUAAAAGAAUCAUUAUAGAUUUUAAUUUUUGAAACAUAUCUUGAGAUGUAUUAUCGUUGUUCUAAAGUUGAAUUAUUUUUAAAAUCAAAUGAGAUGUAAUUAAAAUUACUUGGUUAAUAAAUAUUUUUAAAUAGCUACUCUAUCUUAGACAACUUUAGUUUUUCGGAAAACAACAUAAAAUAGCUCAAAAGAACAUUAAAACUUAAAGAUAACAGAGAUGGUAUUUUAAUACAUUUUUUGACUCAGCAUAUUGCUUUUUAUUUUAAUUCAACAUAAAUCAGUCAUGCCAAAAGUAAUUUAUAAUCCAUAUGAUAUCAAUGGAUAUCUCAUAACAUACUCUCCUUUAGAAUGAACACUUCUAAAAAAGCCAUAAAUUUCUAGACUGGAAGCGAAUCAUUAAGAAAUAUUUCUAUUGGUGGUGGUUUUUGUGUUUUGUUUGUUUGUUUGUUUUAUAAACACAUCUGUGAUCUGGCAGAAACCCUCCUAAGCACCAAGGUUCAUUAAGAGUGGUUUAGACAACACCAAGAUGUUCAAGGGCAGGGAGAGUGUGGAUGCUUAGAAUGGAUUCUGGGUUGGAAUUGGACAUUGAAGUCAGCAUGGAUCUCUUUCACAUUUUGUUUCUCUCCUGACAGAAACAUACCAUGAAACAAAGACAUAGUAGAAAGCAAAACAACCACAGGUCAGUCUACAUAGCCCUUACUUCUUUUCUUUAACAUAAAUGCCACUGUACAAGCCUUUUUAAAAAGGUAAAUGAUUAUGAAAACAAUUUAACUUCCUACAUUCCUCCUUUUGAAAUUAGGGAUUAUUCUGUCUCACUCAGUAAAGAUGCUCUGCUUUCAACGAGACAAACCCACAGUGUAACCUUUUGGAGAUCAUCUCAACAAAAUCUUCUGACAUAAUGUGGUAUUUUUUUCAGCUGCAGGCCUAUGUAUAACGCCUGUUAAUGCUCAUUACAUAGGAUAGGAGUUUAAGGCAAUAAAUGGACUGGACAUGUUUUAAAGCCCUUAGCCACUUCUUGACUUUGUUCUAAUUUAUUCUAAAUUGGAUAUGGAGUGAACAAUAUUGUCCUUUAUCAUUAUAUUUAAAUAUAAUAAUUUAUUUUUUACAACUUAUUACUCUGCAUAUGUCAUACGACCAAAUUUCCCCUUCUAUUACUGGAGCCAGCUUGUUGAAUUAGAGGCAGAGAUGGCUCCCAUUCCACAGACGUCACAACUUUGUUCUAGUUACAAUUCUUAUCUAAAAUAAACAAGCCGUUCUUCUUAUUCAAUUCUAGCUGUGAAAUUAAU